GGCGAGCGGCGGACGGGUGAGUAAUGCCUAGGAAUCUGCCUGGUAGUGGGGGAUAACGCUCGGAAACGGACGCUAAUACCGCAUACGUCCUACGGGAGAAAGCAGGGGACCUUCGGGCCUUGCGCUAUCAGAUGAGCCUAGGUCGGAUUAGCUAGUUGGUGAGGUAAUGGCUCACCAAGGCGACGAUCCGUAACUGGUCUGAGAGGAUGAUCAGUCACACUGGAACUGAGACACGGUCCAGACUCCUACGGGAGGCAGCAGUGGGGAAUAUUGGACAAUGGGCGAAAGCCUGAUCCAGCCAUGCCGCGUGUGUGAAGAAGGUCUUCGGAUUGUAAAGCACUUUAAGUUGGGAGGAAGGGCAGUUACCUAAUACGUAUCUGUUUUGACGUUACCGACAGAAUAAGCACCGGCUAACUCUGUGCCAGCAGCCGCGGUAAUACAGAGGGUGCAAGCGUUAAUCGGAAUUACUGGGCGUAAAGCGCGCGUAGGUGGUUCGUUAAGUUGGAUGUGAAAUCCCCGGGCUCAACCUGGGAACUGCAUCCAAAACUGGCGAGCUAGAGUAUGGUAGAGGGUGGUGGAAUUUCCUGUGUAGCGGUGAAAUGCGUAGAUAUAGGAAGGAACACCAGUGGCGAAGGCGACCACCUGGACUGAUACUGACACUGAGGUGCGAAAGCGU
This 676-nucleotide ribosomal RNA is filed under the name Pseudomonas lini. RNAcentral's name for it is "bacterial SSU rRNA". It matches the Rfam family "Bacterial small subunit ribosomal RNA", at positions 90 to 762 of the family's 1533-position model. Lineage: Bacteria; Pseudomonadati; Pseudomonadota; Gammaproteobacteria; Pseudomonadales; Pseudomonadaceae. The record is from RNAcentral.